AAAAGCACUGUUUUUGCCCGCAUUGAGUAUUGCGUAAAAGACUCGUUUCACAAGUGCCAACGAUAACGAAGCACUCGCAGUCGCAGCGUAACCUGACGGCCUAACGGCCUGAUCUUACAAAGCUAAAGCGCGGUUGGACCCACCGGGCAACAGAAGCGGAUUCCG
RNAcentral lists this transfer-messenger RNA (165 nucleotides) under Sphingomonadaceae bacterium. RNAcentral's name for it is "partial transfer-messenger RNA". It matches the Rfam family "Alphaproteobacteria transfer-messenger RNA", at positions 176 to 355 of the family's 355-position model. From Rfam's summary of the family: Bacterial tmRNA, also known as 10Sa RNA or SsrA, is named for its dual tRNA and mRNA-like properties. Its role is to liberate the mRNA from a stalled ribosome. Lineage: Bacteria; Pseudomonadati; Pseudomonadota; Alphaproteobacteria; Sphingomonadales; Sphingomonadaceae. The record is from RNAcentral.